GGCUGCUGCAGCCCGGGCGGCUGCGCAGAAGGAGGGAGGGGAAACACAAAGCCGGCUACGCGCUGCGAGCUGUGAAAGUGAAGUUUGGCUUGAAAACACGUUCUGCCAGUGCAAAUCCAAAAAGUAUCAAGACAGGAUUCUUCUACUAUAAUAACCAACUGAUAACAAGAGUAAUCCACAGACUUAAAACAUGAGCUCAGAUGCCAGCCAAGGUGUGAUUACCACUCCUCCUCCUCCCAGCAUGCCUCACAAAGAGAGAUAUUUUGACCGCAUCAAUGAAAAUGACCCAGAAUACAUUAGGGAGAGGAACAUGUCUCCUGAUCUACGACAAGACUUCAACAUGAUGGAGCAGAGGAAACGAGUUACUCAGAUCCUGCAAAGUCCUGGCCAGUGGUAUUCUAUUUCCAAAUGAGUACAUUUCUUAAUGGAGAAAUUCUAAGCCUUUCGGGAAGACUUGGAAUGCCUUAUUCAAGAACAGAUGAAGAAAGGCCACAACCCAACUGGAUUACUAGCAUUACAGCAGAUUGCAGAUUACAUCAUGGCCAAUUCUUUCUCGG
RNAcentral lists this small RNA (557 nucleotides) under Pongo abelii (Sumatran orangutan). Its description in RNAcentral is "processed transcript". Lineage: Eukaryota; Metazoa; Chordata; Mammalia; Primates; Hominidae. The record is from RNAcentral.